GACUGUACAAAGGUAGCAUAAUCACUUGUUUCUUAAUUGGAAUCUGGUAUGAAUGGUUUGAUGAAAAAUGGACUUUCUUCAUAUUAUAUAUAGAACUUAUAUUUUAAGUUAAAAUACUUAAAUUUAUAUAUAGGACGAGAAGACCCUAUAGAACUUUAAUUAUAUUUAUUUAUAUAUAUAUUAGUUAAUUAUAUUUAUAUAAAUAUAUAUUAUUUAUAUUGGGGUGAUAAAUAAAAUAUCAAAACUUUAUUUAAUUAUAUCAAAUAUGCUUGAUACAUUGAUCCUUUAUUUAAGAUUAUAAGAUCAAGUUACCUUAGGGAUAACAGCGUUAUUAUUUUGGAGAGUUCAAAUCGAUAAAAUAGUUUGCGACCUCGAUGUUGGAUUAAAAUUAAUAUUAAGAGUAGCAUCUUAAAUAUUAGGUCUGUUCGACCUUUAUAUUUUUACA
This 445-nucleotide ribosomal RNA is filed under the name Mansoniella cinnamomi. RNAcentral's name for it is "partial large subunit ribosomal RNA". The stretch from base 319 to 445 matches the Rfam family "Bacterial large subunit ribosomal RNA", at positions 2473 to 2600 of the family's 2925-position model. The record is from RNAcentral. Lineage: Eukaryota; Metazoa; Arthropoda; Insecta; Hemiptera; Miridae.